AGAUAAUUUAGAAGUCGAGAAAAAGACAAAACUAAAUGAUUGUUUUGGGAGAUCUUGAAGAAUUUGAAAAUAUGGUUUCCCGUGUUUUGCUGAUAGGAAAACAAAGUCCCUGGCACCAGUCUAGGAUUACAAAUCUCAGAGACUACAGCCGAAAACACAGAACUCGCGUUUUGGAAAUUUGGACUCGGUUCAUUAGAGCAGGAUAAUAAAAACAUGACCAGGAUCCCCAUCCUCUAUUUGGAGGAGGUGGAUUUGCUGAUUCUGCUAAAGAAAUACUUGGUAAAGAAUUUGUUUUCUGUUUUGGGACUCCAAAAUCAUUUACAAAAUGCAGAAUGUGAAUCCUAAAAAAUAAUAGCAGAGGGUCAUAUGCUAACUGCCAUCUCCAAGGAAAAUCUGAAAACAAAUUUGCCACUUUGAAUAAGCACUUUUAUUUAUGCAGUACAAUCUAUCUGUCAAAACAGCAUGAGGCUCUGCUCAGUUAAAUAUUCUAAUACAAUUAGCAAAGUAAUGUAAUUGGCUGGCCUUAAUAGACAUCAGCUCUACGGGCAGCAUCACUAAAGUUAACAGUCAUGCUGGAGAUGGGACCGAGAAGCUGCAAAUGAAGCCAGAUGUACACACAGAGGGGCUAUAGACCCAUCAGGAUUUCCUGGGGGGAAAUAUUCAUUAAACUGUGCAUCUGGUAGAGUGCUUCAAAAAUCUGCCCCUCCUUAAUGAUCCUUUGGCAGAUUUGUUUUUAAAAAUACCUCACCCCCAUUUGAAAGGUAAAUCUAUAUAUGACAGUCUUUAGUAAAUUAAUAUAUUAUUACCAAAAGUAUUGUUAAGUCAAAAUGAUAGUUUCUUAUAAUGGUGGUGAUGCAGUGUGACGGAAUCCUCCAUAUCUCGUAUUGUUGAAGAAAUUUGAAAAAAAAAAAAAAAAGAUUAAUGUUCAGAUUUACUUAUUUUUUGACACUCUUCUCAUCAAGAGACCAUGGUCUAUAUCCCUUGUUCCUUCCCCUUAAAUCUGGGAAGGCUCUGUGACUGCAGUGACUAAUAGAAUAUUACUGAGUGGUAUGUCAGUUUCGGUACUCAGGCCACAGAGACAUACAGUUUCCAUUUUCUAUCUCAGAACACUCACUUUUGGAAUUCAGAUGUGAGAAAACCCAAGUCCUCUCAGAGAGGAUCAUGUGCAGAGAAACUGAGGCUCCAGGUGACAGUCCCAGAUGAGCUUCCAGCACACAGCCAACACCAAAUUGCCAUCUUUUAAGUUGUCCACCUACAUUGGUCCAGCUGCCUCAGCUGUUUCUGCAUAGAGAAGAGCUGAACUACCUCCCCAGAUCCCUGCUCACAUUACAGAUUUUUCACCCAAAUUAUUGAGUGCUGUCAUUUGAAGCCACAAAGUUUUGGGGUAAUUUGUUAUGGCCAUGAUAGAUAAUGGAAAUGCUCAUCAACAGGUAGCCAAACACAUUGAAAAACACAUACAUUCUUUCCACAAUUUCUUUUCUGUCUGGAUUUGAAAACAAAUUUCCCUCAAUAAAAUAACUCAGUGGCAAUUUUCUCCAGGUCAGUGUUUUUAAUUUGUAGCCUGAAAUCUGUAUGUUUAACCUGAUACCAAACUUGUUUGUUCUCUAAUCCAGUUGUUGCUGUUCAUUUACACUCUAUAG
RNAcentral lists this long non-coding RNA (1640 nucleotides) under Homo sapiens (human). Its description in RNAcentral is "HSALNT0329025". Lineage: Eukaryota; Metazoa; Chordata; Mammalia; Primates; Hominidae. The record is from RNAcentral.